This 1167-nucleotide ribosomal RNA is filed under the name Triticum aestivum (bread wheat). RNAcentral describes it as "partial small subunit ribosomal RNA". Lineage: Eukaryota; Viridiplantae; Streptophyta; Magnoliopsida; Poales; Poaceae. The record is from RNAcentral.
AUGCUACAGCCAGCCACCAGAUCAUGGAACGAAGGGUUGGUCCAGUCGGUGUUCAUACGCUUGGAUGCGGAUGCCAUUUUGAGAAUCCCGGUUUGCACACGCAACAUUGAUGACGUCUGGGCAUGGUAUCCAGACAAAAAAGGGAGGUUCACUGUCAGCUCAGCUUAUAGAUUCUUGGUUAGCACCAAGCUGCAGCGAAGAGUGGCUAGAGGGCAGAACGAGAUCAUCUUCGGGACAGGAGGAACAAAGGGCCUGGUCGGCUCUAUGGAAAAUUUCAAUACCUUCAAAGAUCAAAGUUUUCAUGUGGAGAUUAGCACGUCAUUCGCUGCCUACCACGGAUGUGCUGCAUCACAGAAACAUGGCAAUCCAAAACACAUGCCCUCUAUGUGUGUGUGGGCUCUAUCAUACGCAGAUGUGGUGCAAGCGAUGUCAGAACUAGAAGAACCAAGUGCGAAAAGGUGGUUGUUUGAAUUACAUUGCAAGCUUGAUCACUCCAAGUUCACGGCAAUGGCUGUCACAUUAUGGGAUGUUUGGUAUGCACGGCGGAAAGCUGUGUACGAAGCGAUCUUUCAAGCGCCGCAGCAAACCAUAUCUUUUGUGAACAAUUUCAUAGCAAACUUGCAUCAGCUCCAAAGGGAACCAGUGGUGGCUAGCCCAACAACAACGGUGGUCUGGCCACAACGCUGGCUUGCACCCGGGUCCGGUGCUGUCAAAAUUAAUGUCGAUGGAGCGCUGGCGAGGAAUAUGCAUGGUGGAGCAGUGGCAGCUCUCUGUAGACACGAGAAUGGCAACUACUUGGGGUCCUCGGCAGUGGUCUAUGGAGGGAUCACCGACCCCAUGAUGCUAGAAACAUUUGCAUGCAGGGAGGGACUAGCUUUGGCAGAUGAUCUGGAUGCUCACGACGUGGUGAUGGCUUCGGAUUGUGAGGGCGUAGUCAAUGACAUCAACAGAGGGACAAGUGGUCCUAACACGGCUAUUACACAUGAAAUAUUAGCUCGUAGCUCUAGUCUCUCAUCCUGCAAGUUUAUUUUUGAGCGUAGAAAUUUCAAUUUUGAGGCUCACAAUCUCGCAAAGCAUGCAUGUAAUCUAGGCAUAGGUAGAUAUGUGUGGUUGGGCACUCCUCAUGACCCAACUAUUGUACCUAUGAACAUUACUCUUAUUCAAUAA